UCCAACAAUUGCAUAUAUAAGAAGCAAUGGCGAUUGAUUCCUACAGUGGGCAGCAGGUCAGUGGUGUGCUCGUGGUGGAGCUGUCAAGUGCCAGAAGCCUUCAGAGCCGUACGACUGUACUUGUGAGUCUGACUUCGAUAUCGUUGAGCCCGCACCACCAGCAUGCCCGGCCACGUUAAGAAGAGCACGGGUCCAGACCCCGACCCCACUGAAUACCUCUUCAUCUCUCGGGAGCAGAAGAUGAAGGAUCAGACGAAACCCUACGAUCCUAAGAAGUCUUAUUGGUGUCCUGACCCCAAUGAGGGCUUCGUCGAGUGUGAGUUUCAGGCUCCUAAGGGUGAUAAACUUGUCACAGUAAAGCUUCCCAGCGGCGAGACGAAGGACUUCAAGAAGGAGCAGGUCGGACAGGUCAACCCUCCCAAGUACGAGAAGUGUGAGGAUGUGUCCAACCUGACCUUCCUCAACGAUCCCUCCGUCUUCUACGUCCUCAAGUCCCGUUACCAGGCCAAGCUUAUCUACACCUACUCUGGUCUCUUCUGUAUCGCCGUCAACCCCUACAAGCGUUACCCCAUCUACACCAACCGUGCCGUCAAGAUCUAUAUCGGCAAGAGGCGUAAUGAGGUGCCCCCUCAUCUCUUCGCCAUUUGCGACGGUGCCUACCAGAACAUGAAUCAAGAACGCCAGAACCAGUCUAUGCUUAUUACCGGCGAAUCUGGCGCCGGCAAGACUGAGAACACAAAGAAGGUGUUGUCUUACUUCGCCAACGUCGGUGCCUCUGAGAAGAAAGAGGGCGAGAGCAAACAGAAUCUUGAGGACCAGAUUAUCCAAACCAACCCCAUCCUUGAAGCUUACGGCAAUGCCAAGACCACCCGUAACGACAACUCCUCUCGUUUCGGUAAGUUCAUCCGCGUCCACUUCGCUCCCAACGGCAAGCUCUCUGGCGCUGAUAUCGAGGUCUACCUGCUGGAGAAGGCUCGUGUCAUCUCCCAGUCCCCCGCCGAGCGAGGCUACCAUAUCUUCUACCAGCUCAUGUGCGACCAGAUUGAUUAUAUGAAGAAAAUUUGCUGUUUGUCUGACGACAUCUACGACUACCACUACGAGGCGCAGGGUAAGGUUACCGUCCCAUCCAUCGACGACAAGGAAGACAUGCAAUUUACUCACGACGCUUUCGACAUCCUGAACUUCUCACACGAGGAAAGAGACGAUUGCUACAAGGUUACAGCUUCUGUCAUGCACCAUGGUAACAUGAAGUUCAAGCAGAGGGGUCGCGAGGAGCAGGCUGAGGCCGAUGGCACUGAGGCCGGAGAAAUUGUUGCUAAACUGCUCGGUGUUGACGCCGAGGAGCUCUACAGGAACUUCUGCAAGCCCAAGAUCAAGGUCGGUGCCGAGUUCGUCACCAAGGGUAUGAAUGUCGACCAAGUCAACUACAACGUUGGUGCCAUGGCCAAGGGUCUCUUCUCGCGUGUGUUCUCAUGGCUCGUCAGGAAGUGUAACAUGACACUCGAGACUGGCCAGACUCGCGCCAUGUUCAUCGGUGUGCUCGAUAUUGCCGGCUUUGAGAUCUUCGACUUCAACGGUUUCGAGCAGAUCUGUAUCAACUUCUGUAACGAGAAGCUGCAGCAGUUCUUCAACCACCACAUGUUCGUACUGGAACAAGAAGAAUACGCAAAGGAAGGCAUUGUGUGGCAGUUCGUCGACUUCGGUAUGGAUCUGCAGGCUUGCAUUGAACUCUUCGAGAAGAAAAUGGGUCUCCUCUCCAUCCUUGAGGAAGAGUCCAUGUUCCCCAAGGCCACUGACAAGACCUUCGAGGAGAAGCUGAACAACAACCAUCUCGGAAAGUCUCGUUGCUUCAUCAAGCCCAAGCCUCCAAAGCCCGGCCAGCCUGACAACCACUUUGCCAUUGUUCACUACGCUGGCACUGUGUCCUACAACCUGACUGGCUGGCUUGAGAAGAACAAGGAUCCUCUCAACGACACCGUCGUCGACCAGCUCAAGAAGGCCUCCAACGCCCUCACAGUCGAGAUCUUCGCUGACCAUCCUGGUCAAUCCGGUGAUGGAGGUGGCAAAGGAAAGGGAGGCAAGCAGCAGACUGGUUUCAAAACCGUGUCUUCUGGGUACAAGGAUCAGCUUGCCAACCUCAUGAAGACUCUCAACGCUACUCAUCCUCACUUCAUCCGUUGCAUUGUGCCCAACGAGUUCAAGAAGCCCGGCGAAGUAGACUCUGGCCUCAUCAUGCAUCAGCUGACCUGUAACGGUGUACUUGAGGGCAUCCGUAUUUGCCAGAAGGGCUUCCCCAACAGGAUGCCUUACCCUGACUUCAAACAGCGAUACAACAUCCUUGCCGCUAAGGAGAUGCUUGAAGCGAAGGACGACAAGAAGGCAGCAACAGCUUGCUUCGAGAGGGCCGGCCUCGACCCUGAGUUGUACCGUACCGGCAAUACUAAGGUAUUCUUCCGUGCCGGUGUCUUGGGUACCCUUGAAGAGAUUCGUGAUGACCGUAUUAUGAAGCUGGUAUCCUGGCUUCAAGCAUGGAUUCGUGGCUGGGCCAGCCGCAAAUACUAUUCCAAGAUGCAGAAGCAACGCACUGCUCUCAUCGUCAUGCAACGCAACAUCAGAAAAUUCAAGAUCAUGCGAUCCUGGCUCUGGUAUGAGCUCUGGAUCAAGCUGAAGCCCAGGCUCAAGGCCACUCGUGGUGAAGAGGAGCUGGAGAAACUGGAAGCUACUGCUGUUAAGGCUGAAGAAGAGUUUGAGAAGGUACUUAAGGUUCGCGAAGAACUUGAAGCCCAGAAUGCACUUCUUUUGGCAGAGAAAAAUGAACUUUUGGCAGCUGUCGAAUCAUCUAAAGGUGGCAUGUCGGAAUACUUGGAUAAGCAAGCUAAACUUCUGGCCCAAAAGGCCGAGCUCGAAGGACAGCUUAAUGAAACUUUGGAACGCUGAGAAGGAGGAAGACGCACGCAACCAGAUUUCUAAUGGCAAGAAGAAAUGUGAACAAGAAGUUGCCAACCUGAAGAAGGAGCUUGAGGAACUCGAACUCUCCGUCCAGCAGGGUGAGCAGGAUAAACAAACCAAGGAUCAGCAGCUUACAAACUUGAACGAGGAGAUCUCUCAUCAGGAAGAACUCAUUUCUAAAGUUAACAAGGAAAAGAAACACCUUCAGGAAUGCAACCAGAAGACUGCUGAAGACCUUCAGGGCAUUGAAGACAAAUGCAACAAUCUCAACAAGGUUAAGACAAAGUUAGAAUCUAGCCUUGAUGAACUUGAAGAUACUCUGGAGCGUGAGAAGAAGCUUCGUGCUGAGGUUGAGAAGUCAAAGAGGAAGGUUGAGGGUGACCUUAGGCUGACUCAGGAAGCUGUUUCUGAUCUGGAACGCAAUCUCAAGGAACUUGAAGUUGCGGCUGAGCGCAAGGAAAAGGAAAUUGCUGCCAUGACUGCCAAGAUCGAUGAUGAACAGGCUCUUGUGUACAGGGACCAGAGGCAGAUUAAGGAACUGCAAGCUCGUCUUGAGGAGCUCGAGGAGGAAGUUGAGCAUGAGCGUCAGGCCCGUAGCAAGGCCGAGAAAGCCAAGAAUCUUCUGUCUCGUGAACUGACAGAGCUUGGAGAGCGACUGGAUGAGGCUGGUGGCGCAACCGCGGCUCAGAUCGAAAUCAAUAAGAAGCGUGAAGGUGAACUGGCUAAGGUCCGCCGCGACAUUGAGGAGUCCAACCUUCAGCAUGAGGCUGCUCUUGCUACUCUCCGCAAGAAGCACAACGACGCCGUUGCCGAGAUGUCUGAGCAAGUCGAUUACCUCAAUAAGAUGAAGGCCAGAACUGAAAAGGACAAAGAAGCCAUGAAGCGAGAUGCCGAUGAUGCUAAGGCUUCCAUGGAUUCACUUGCUCGUGACAAGACUACCGCUGAGAAGACCACCAAGCAGCUUCAGCAUCAGUACGGCGAGAUCUGCGCCAAGUUAGACGAGGUCAACCGCACCCUGAGUGACUUCGAUGCCACCAAGAAGAAGCUUGCCUGCGAGAAUGCAGACCUUGUCCGCCAGCUGGAAGAGGCCGAAAACCAGGUCAGCCAGCUGUCAAGGGUCAAGCUCUCUCUCACCAACCAGCUCGACGACACCAGGAAGAUGUGCGAUGAAGAGAGCAGGGGCCGUGCCACUCUCCUGGGCAAGUUCCGCAACCUGGAGCACGAUAUUCAAGCCCUCCGUGAUCAACUGGAUGAGGAGAGCGAUGCCAAGGGAGAUGUUCUCCGAAUGCUCUCCAAGGCUAACGCUGAGGCUCUCAUGUGGCGCUCCAAGUACGAGUCUGAGGGUGUUGCCCGUGCAGAGGAACUCGAGGCUGCUCGUAUGAAGCUCGCCGCUCGUCUUGAGGAGGCCGAAAUGCAAAUCGAGUCUCUCAAUGUUAGGAACCUGCAUCUCGAAAAGACUAAAAUGCGUGCUGCUGCUGAGCUGGACGAUCUCCAUGCUUCUGCUGAGCGUGCACAGGCCCUGGCUAGUGCUGCUGAAAAGAAGCAGAAGAACUUCGACAAGAUCAUUUCCGAAUGGAAACUGAAGGUUGAUGACUUGGCCGCUGAGGUAGAUGCCUCGCAGAAGGAAUGCCGCAACUACUCCACCGAGCACUUCCGCCUGAAGGCCGCCAAUGAUGAGAACAUUGAACAGCUUGACAGCAUUCGCCGAGAGAACAAGAACCUGAGCGACGAGAUCAGGGAUCUGAUGGACCAGCUUGGUGAGGGUGGCCGAGCAUACCAUGAAGUUCAGAAGAAUGCCAGACGUCUUGAGCUCGAGAAGGAAGAACUCCAGGCUGCUCUUGAGGAGGCCGAGGCCGCUCUCGAACAAGAGGAGAACAAGGUCCUCCGCACUCAACUUGAACUCAGCCAGAUCAGACAAGAGAUUGACAGGCGUCUUCAGGAGAAGGAGGAAGAGUUCGACAACACACGCAAGUGUCACCAGAGGGCCAUCGACUCCAUGCAAGCUUCUCUUGAGGUUGAAGCCAAGGGUAAGGCCGAGGCUCUUCGCAUAAAGAAGAAGCUCGAGUCCGACAUCAACGAGCUCGAGAUCGCCCUUGACCACGCCAAUAAGGCCAACUCUGACCUUCACAAACAUCUGAGGAAGGUUCACGAUGAAAUCAAGGAUGCGGAAACCCGUGUUAAGGAAGAGCAACGCCAUGCCUCCGAGUUCCGUGAACAGUAUGGCAUUGCUGAACGCCGCUUCAACGCCCUUCACGGAGAGCUGGAAGAAUCCCGCACUCUCCUGGAACAGUCUGACCGCGGCCGUCGCCACGCUGAGACUGAGCUCAAUGAUGCACGCGAACAGAUCAACAACUUCACCAACCAGAACACUGCUCUCACUGCCUCAAAGAGGAAGCUUGAAGGUGAAAUGUCAACCCUCCAGGCUGACCUUGAGGAGAUGCUCAACGAGGCAAGGAACUCUGAGGAGAAGGCGAAGAAGGCAAUGCUUGACGCUGCCCGCCUGGCCGACGAACUCCGCUCUGAGCAGGAACACGCUCAGGCCCAAGAGAAGAUGCGUAAGGCCUUGGAAAUUACCGUCAAGGAUCUCCAGACCCGUCUUGAUGAGAGUGAGAGUGCUGCCAUGAAGGCUGGCAAGAAGGCCGUCAGCAACAUGGAAGCUCGCAUUCGUGAUCUCGAGUCUGCGCUGGAUGAAGAGGUCCGUCGUCACGCCGAUUCGCAGAAGAACCUGAGGAAGUGCGAGAGGCGCAUCAAGGAGCUCGCCUUCCAGACUGAAGAGGACAAGAAGAACCACGACAGGAUGCAGGACCUCGUCGAUAAGCUCCAGCAGAAGAUCAAGACCUACAAGCGACAGAUCGAGGAGGCUGAGGAGAUCGCCGCCCUCAACUUGGCCAAGUUCCGCAAGACUCAGCAGGAGCUUGAAGAAUCUGAGGGAGUAACUAUCAUCCACUAUUAAACGCAGUGUUAUCUAAAACGACGAUGUAACUUGGGUAACUGCUGCAAUAAAAAUGUAAUUUAAA
Molecule: non-coding RNA, 5966 nt
Organism: Penaeus vannamei (Pacific white shrimp)
Lineage: Eukaryota; Metazoa; Arthropoda; Malacostraca; Decapoda; Penaeidae
Source: RefSeq, a predicted model, not a curated record